GUGGGGAAUCUUCCGCAAUGGGCGAAAGCCUGACGGAGCAACGCCGCGUGGGGGACGAAGGCCUUCGGGUCGUAAACCCCUGUCAGAGGGAAAGAAGGGCGUCGGCGUGAAUAGCGCCGGCGCUUGACGGUACUCUCAGAGGAAGCCACGGCCAACUCCGUGCCAGCAGCCGCGGUAAUACGGAGGUGGCAAGCGUUGUUCGGAAUUACUGGGCGUAAAGGGCGCGUAGGCGGGGAGGUAAGUCGGGUGUGAAAUCCCUCGGCUCAACCGAGGAACUGCGCCCGAGACUGCUUCUCUUGAGUCCCGGAGAGGAAGGUGGAAUUCCCGGUGUAGCGGUGAAAUGUGUAGAGAUCGGGAGGAACACCGGUGGCGAAGGCGGCCUUCUGGACGGUGACUGACGCUGAGGCGCGAAAGCGUGGGGAGCAAACGGGAUUAGAUACCCUUGUAGUCC
RNAcentral lists this ribosomal RNA (451 nucleotides) under uncultured bacterium. RNAcentral describes it as "bacterial SSU rRNA". It matches the Rfam family "Bacterial small subunit ribosomal RNA", at positions 354 to 796 of the family's 1533-position model. The record is from RNAcentral.